RNAcentral lists this ribosomal RNA (482 nucleotides) under uncultured bacterium. Its description in RNAcentral is "partial 16S ribosomal RNA". It matches the Rfam family "Bacterial small subunit ribosomal RNA", at positions 39 to 507 of the family's 1533-position model. The record is from RNAcentral.
GGGGGGGGGGGGGGGGGGGGGGUGGGGGGGGGGGGGGGGGGGGGGCGGGUGUUGGGGUGGUGGCGGGUGGGGGAGGGGUGGGUAAUGCAUCGGGACGUGCCCGAUCGGGGGGGAUAACGGGGCGAGGGCUUUGCUAAUACCGCAUACGAUCUACGGCUGACGGCGGGGGCGCUUCGGACCUCUCGCUGACGGAGCUGCCGAUGGCACAUUAGGUAGUUGGUGGGAUAAAAGCUUACCACGCCGACGAUCUGUAGCUGGUCUGAGAGGAUGAUCAGCCACACUGGGACUGAGACACGGCCCAGACUCCUACGGGAGGCAGCAGUGGGGAAUUUUGGACAAUGGGCGAAAGCCUGAUCCAGCCAUGCCGCGUGCAGGAUGAAGGCCUUCGGGUUGUAAACUGCUUUUGUACGGAACGAAAAGCCUCUUUCUAAUAAAGAGGGGUCAUGACGGUACCGUAAGAAUAAGCACCGGCUAACUACGUG